RNAcentral lists this ribosomal RNA (511 nucleotides) under uncultured bacterium. RNAcentral's name for it is "partial 16S ribosomal RNA". The record is from RNAcentral.
GGAGUUAGCCGGUGCUUCUUCUGUGAGUGAUGUCCUUCCUUCCGGCUAUUAACCCGCAGGCCUUCUUCCUCACUGAAAGUGCUUUACAACCCGAAGGCCUUCUUCACACACGCGGCAUGGCUGGAUCAGGGGUUGCCCCCCAUUGUCCAAUAUUCCCCACUGCUGCCUCCCGUAGGAGUCUGGGCCGUGUCUCAGUCCCAGUGUGGCUGAUCAUCCUCUCAGACCAGCUACGGAUCGUCGCCUUGGUGAGCCGUUACCUCACCAACCAGCUAAUCCGACAUAGGCUCAUCCGAUAGCGCGAGGCCCGAAGGUCCCCCGCUUUCCCCCGUAGGUCGUAUGCGGUAUUAGCCUGGGUUUCCCCCAGGUUAUCCCCCCACUACCGGGCAGAUUCCUAUGCAUUACUCACCCGUCCGCCGCUCGCCACCAGGGAGCAAGCUCCCCGUGCUGCCGCUCGACUUGCAUGUGUUAGGCCUGCCGCCAGCGUUCAAUCUGAGCCAGGAUCAAACUCUGA